UUCUAAUAAUUUAAACAAAAUAUUGAUCUUGUAAAUCAAAAUUACACACUCGUUUAGAACUC
Molecule: transfer RNA, 62 nt
Filed under: Euphyllura phillyreae
Lineage: Eukaryota; Metazoa; Arthropoda; Insecta; Hemiptera; Liviidae
Description: tRNA-Thr
Source: RNAcentral